UGUAAAAUAUACUGCAGUAUUAGUGUCUGUCUGAGUGAUUCUAGAAUCAGUGGUAGCACUGACAGGUAGUCCCCUAGGAAGACUUAAGUGACUAAACUUCGCAGACCCAAUAGGGGUUUGGUGGGCCUUCAGAAGUCUAAACGUAGCUCUGUUGGUGAGAGUCUCUUUGAUAUGAUGUAUCCCUGUCAUGUGAUUGUGGCUAAAUGUUGAGGUUAGCCACAUGAAUCUAAUCUCCCAAGUCUAAACGUAGCAAAGCGAGAUUAGAUUAUUUUGUUUUAGUGUCUUAAUUUCACCCAGUCUAAACGUAGCAAGGUGAAGUUAAGUUGUCUUGUAUUAAUUGGCUAAAUGUUGAGGUUAGCCACAUGAAUCUAAUCUCCCAAAUCUAAACGUAGGAAAGUGAGAUUAGAUUAUUUUGUUUUAUUGUCUUAAUUUCACCCAGUCUAAACGUAGCAAGGUGAAGUUAAGUUGUCUUGUAUUAACUGUUUAAACUCAUAGGUUAAACGUAGCACUUGAGUAAGAUGUAUUGUGUUAAAAUUGUAUAACUGUGUGUAUAUGGUUUAAAUUUUGAUAAACUGUGACAUCAUUUGAGAAGAGAUUUUUGUGUAAACUCCAGUUGUCAGUCAGUAUACAGACUGAAAAUUGUGACCUUUCGAUCUCUCAAAAGGUGAUACAGUGAGUGUAUACAUUUGGUGUUUCAAAGUACAAGUAACAGAAAUGAGGUUGAAUCAUGGCAAGCAGCUUGAUCAUGGGGAUAGUAUACCCAGUGAUUCCCCAGUUUAUUUAAUGAAACCGAAAUAUG
Pelobates cultripes (western spadefoot toad) is the source of this 799-nucleotide non-coding RNA. NCBI's taxonomy places the organism in Eukaryota, Metazoa, Chordata, Amphibia, Anura, Pelobatidae. The record is from the annotation of a GenBank genome assembly.